AGGUUACUGCUAUCGGUGUUCGCCUAAGCCAUGCGAGUCAUAUGUUCUUCGUGAACAUGGCGUACUGCCCAGUAACACGUGGAUAACCUGCCCUUGGGUCCGGCAUAACCCCGGGAAACUGGGAUAAUUCCGGAUAACGCACAUAUGCUGGAAUGCUUUAUGCGUCAAAUGGAUUCGUCCGCCCAAGGAUGGGUCUGCGGCCUAUCAGGUAGUAGUGGGUGUAAUGUACCUACUAGCCUACGACGGGUACGGGUUGUGAGAGCAAGAGCCCGGAGAUGGAUUCUGAGACAUGAAUCCAGGCCCUACGGGGCGCAGCAGGCGCGAAAACUUUACAAUGCGGGAAACCGUGAUAAGGGGACACCGAGUGCCAGCAUCAUAUGUUGGCUGUCCGGGUGUGUAAAAUACACCUGUUAGCAAGGGCCGGGCAAGACCGGUGCCAGCCGCCGCGGUAACACCGGCGGCCCGAGUGGUGAUCGUGAUUAUUGGGUCUAAAGGGUCCGUAGCCGGUUUGGUCAGUCCUCCGGGAAAUCUGACGGCUUAACCGUUAGGCUUUCGGGGGAUACUGCCAGACUUGGAACCGGGAGAGGUAGGAGGUACUACAGGGGUAGGAGUGAAAUCUUGUAAUCCUUGUGGGACCACCUGUGGCGAAGGCGUCUUACCAGAACGGGUUCGACGGUGAGGGACGAAAGCUGGGGGCACGAACCGGAUUAGAUACCCGGGUAGUCCCAGCCGUAAACGAUGCUCGCUAGGUGUCAGGCAUGGCGCGACCGUGUCUGGUGCCGCAGGGAAGCCGUGAAGCGAGCCACCCGGGAAUUACGGCCGCAAGGCUGAAACUUAA
This 838-nucleotide ribosomal RNA is filed under the name uncultured archaeon. RNAcentral's name for it is "bacterial SSU rRNA". It matches the Rfam family "Archaeal small subunit ribosomal RNA", at positions 21 to 859 of the family's 1478-position model. The record is from RNAcentral.